AUUGAACGCUGGCGGCAGGCUUAACACAUGCAAGUCGAGCGGGGUGAUGGUGCUUGCACUAUCACUUAGCGGCGGACGGGUGAGUAAUGCUUAGGAAUCUGCCUAUUAGUGGGGGACAACAUCUCGAAAGGGAUGCUAAUACCGCAUACGUCCUACGGGAGAAAGCAGGGGAUCACUUGUGACCUUGCGCUAAUAGAUGAGCCUAAGUCGGAUUAGCUAGUUGGUGGGGUAAAGGCCUACCAAGGCGACGAUCUGUAGCGGGUCUGAGAGGAUGAGCCGCAACACUGGGACUGAGACACGGCCCAGACUCCUGCGGGAGGCAGCAGUGGGGAAUAUUGGACAAUGGGGGGAACCCUGAUCCAGCCAUGUCGCGUGUGUGAAGAAGGCCUUAUGGUUGUAAAGCACUUUAAGCGAGGAGGAGGCUCUUUUGGUUAAUACCCAAGAUGAGUGGACGUUACUCGCAGAAUAAGCACCGGCUAACUCUGUGCCAGCCGCCGCCGUAA
RNAcentral lists this ribosomal RNA (503 nucleotides) under uncultured bacterium. Its description in RNAcentral is "partial 16S ribosomal RNA". It matches the Rfam family "Bacterial small subunit ribosomal RNA", at positions 30 to 523 of the family's 1533-position model. The record is from RNAcentral.